Molecule: long non-coding RNA, 861 nt
Organism: Dromaius novaehollandiae (emu)
Lineage: Eukaryota; Metazoa; Chordata; Aves; Casuariiformes; Dromaiidae
Exons: 2
Source: RefSeq, a predicted model, not a curated record
ACUUUGCCCGGGUGUGAGGAGAAGGUUGCUUUUAGUCAGUACUGUGGUUUCCAUCGCCAAAGCCUGCCUUCCUCCAGAGAGCUUGUUGGAGCAGUGACCCUCUGUUCCCCGCCAGAUGUCUGGACGCUGCCGGAGAUGAGCUCUCUCUUUGUGCGGAGCGUGGAAAUCGAGAUAGGCAACAAAACCCGGAAUGUGACCCUGCAUACCCCCAGAUAAUGCUGCAAUAAACAGCUCCCCGGCAGGAGCUACUGCUACAGUGGCUACAGCUGUAUACCACCCAGUCCCAGGAUCCCCCCUGGUGUCACGGAGAGGUGCCAAUUUGCCAAUGUAAUGCUCAGCUUCUGGGGUAGCGUGGGGGUCCCGGUAUACGAGGCAGACACCUUCACUCUGGCCAUCCUCUUCUCCAACCCCUUUGCCUACAACGUUUUCUAUGUGGAGGUUGCCCUGGAGAUCUCCAUGGAAAACGCCCACCACGGCAGCUUGGAGGAGGUCUACAAGAGGAUGUACAACAGCCUGUCUACCGGCAAUGUUAAUAACACCACCUUCCAGCAAGCCAAGGUCCGUCAAUGCCAGGAGACCCUCACGGUCUAUGCCAACCAUGUGCAGGUCACGGCCACCAUGUCCAAUGCUGCUAAGUCAGUCAUCAAAGUAAUUGUGGAAGAUAAAGAUGGUCCUCCCGCAUAUUCAGAGGAAGCACCACCUGGUAGCCAUAGGCAGUAUCUUGGCCAAAGAAGUGGAAGAACCUGCUAAAAGGCAAGACAGGCAGGUGGUAUGUGCUCUCUGUUUUGCUUCUUGCUUUAGAUGCCAGGCAGCAUGUGCUUCCCUCAAUAAAGGCUAGAGCCAAGUGAUUGAGCAUCCAAA